Molecule: non-coding RNA, 229 nt
Organism: Meleagris gallopavo (turkey)
Lineage: Eukaryota; Metazoa; Chordata; Aves; Galliformes; Phasianidae
Source: RefSeq, a predicted model, not a curated record
GAAAGUACAAAAAGAAGCAGCAGCAGAAGAAGAAGCAAAGACUGCGGCAGUUUAAUGACCUAUGGGUUCGCUUUGAAGAAAGGGGAUGUCAUUUAAACCUUUUGUAAUUCCUGACCUGUGGAAGGGAACAAGCAGCAUAGGGUGCCACCGACCCUCCUCCCCGUAUCCGUAUCAUCAAUGGCUACAUCACAGUGGAACCCCAGCCCCGGGGCCAUGGACGGUUCAGUCC